GAAUUCUUACUUGGUUUUCUUUUCUUUUCAGUCAGUACUGCUCCCCAACCUAAGCCAAAGAGUCAAGUACCAUUGGCCAGGAUCAAACACUUAUGGAACGUGAUACAGAGGGUGGUGCAGCAGAAAUUAAUUGCAAUGGAGUGAUUGAAGUCAUUAAUUAUACUCAGAACAGUAAUAAUGAAACAUUGAGACAUAAAGAGGAUCUACAUAAUGCUAAUGACUGUGAUGUCCAAAAUUUGAAUCAGGAAUCUAGUUUCUUAAGCUCCCAAAAUGGAGACAGCAGCACAUCUCAAGAAACAGACUCUUGCACACCUAUAACAUCUGAGGUGUCAGACACCAUGGUGUGCCAAUCUUCCUCAACUGUAGAUCA
RNAcentral lists this small RNA (370 nucleotides) under Pongo abelii (Sumatran orangutan). RNAcentral's name for it is "retained intron". The record is from RNAcentral. Lineage: Eukaryota; Metazoa; Chordata; Mammalia; Primates; Hominidae.